GGAGAGGUACCGAAGCGGUCAUAACGGGGCGGUCUUGAAAACCGUUAGGGUGUAAGCCCACGUGGGUUCGAAUCCCACCCUCUCCGCCA
This 89-nucleotide transfer RNA is filed under the name Clostridiales bacterium. RNAcentral describes it as "tRNA-Ser". It matches the Rfam family "tRNA". Rfam says of the family: Transfer RNA (tRNA) molecules are approximately 80 nucleotides in length. Their secondary structure includes four short double-helical elements and three loops (D, anti-codon, and T loops). Further hydrogen bonds mediate the characteristic L-shaped molecular structure. tRNAs have two regions of fundamental functional importance: the anti-codon, which is responsible for specific mRNA codon recognition, and the 3' end, to which the tRNAs corresponding amino acid is attached (by aminoacyl-tRNA synthetases). tRNAs cope with the degeneracy of the genetic code in two manners: having more than one tRNA (with a specific anti-codon) for a particular amino acid; and 'wobble' base-pairing, i.e. permitting non-standard base-pairing at the 3rd anti-codon position. RNAcentral also lists the same sequence under 2 other names. Lineage: Bacteria; Bacillati; Bacillota; Clostridia; Eubacteriales. The record is from RNAcentral.